AGAUGAAGCUCGUCCAGCUUGUCCUGGAGGAAGGAAACCGGCAUGGAGCAACCUCUGCUUCGGUGUGGCAGCGUCUUGGCCUGGAAGAGGGAGGGGAACCACGGUUGCGUGGCGGCUGGUUCGGGUCGUCUUUAAACGAAGCCGGCCCAGAACCCACACGUUCAAUCCAGUCAAUCUGAUAACGCCUGCGGUCACAACUCCAGCAGUGGGAAAUGGAAAACGUACCAGAGAAAACACCAAAACGGGACGCAGUCUUCUGCAGCAAAUGCAAACUGAGGUGUUGUGGAUAAAAACUGAAAACGGUUCAGUUGGACAGAGAAGGAAAAUUUAAAAAAGCAGAAGACGUUUUCCACAGAAAGGCUGAGCGGUUACACAGCCUGACUGUCAGGGCUGGGCUGUGUGCAGUGUACACACACAGAGAUAACUUCUCCUGUCUGACAGCGCUCUCCUCCUCCGGUGGCGAUCCGCUCGGGCAUCUGAGCUACAGCUCCAUGGUUGACCCCUACGCUCCCGCCUCCUCCUCCUUUUCCUCCUCCUGUUGUGUGUGUUUACAGGCGGGCGAGAUGAGGGCCGCCUCACGCAGAGAAGUCAUCCACGCCCGAGGAAACCGGCCCGUCGCUCCGUCUCUCGCUGCUGCCUAUCGACCGCAAAUCAGCAGCAGAGCAGUCCUGCUCAUGUUGCCGCUUCCUGCAACAAAUUAAAGUUUAGAGAAGGCGCC
Poecilia latipinna (sailfin molly) is the source of this 718-nucleotide long non-coding RNA. RefSeq lists it as uncharacterized. The transcript is spliced from 3 exons. NCBI's taxonomy places the organism in Eukaryota, Metazoa, Chordata, Actinopteri, Cyprinodontiformes, Poeciliidae. The record is from RefSeq and is a predicted model, not a curated record.